GAUGAACGCUGGCGGCGUGCUUAACACAUGCAAGUCGAACGAAGCACUUUACUUGAUUUCCUUCGGGGAUGAUUGUUCUGUGACUGAGUGGCGGACGGGUGAGUAACGCGUGGAUAACCUGCCUCACACAGGGGGAUAACAGUUGGAAACGACUGCUAAUACCGCAUAAGCGCACAGCACCGCAUGGUGCAGUGUGAAAAACUCCGGUGGUGUGAGAUGGAUCCGCGUCUGAUUAGCUUGUUGGCGGGGUAACGGCCCACCAAGGCGACGAUCAGUAGCCGGCCUGAGAGGGCGACCGGCCACAUUGGGACUGAGACACGGCCCAGACUCCUACGGGAGGCAGCAGUGGGGAAUAUUGCACAAUGGGGGAAACCCUGAUGCAGCGACGCCGCGUGAGCGAUGAAGUAUUUCGGUAUGUAAAGCUCUAUCAGCAGGGAAGAUAAUGACGGUAC
RNAcentral lists this ribosomal RNA (452 nucleotides) under uncultured bacterium. RNAcentral describes it as "bacterial SSU rRNA". It matches the Rfam family "Bacterial small subunit ribosomal RNA", at positions 28 to 478 of the family's 1533-position model. The record is from RNAcentral.